RNAcentral lists this long non-coding RNA (212 nucleotides) under Elaeis guineensis (African oil palm). RNAcentral's name for it is "long non-coding RNA (EGUI_LNC030808)". Lineage: Eukaryota; Viridiplantae; Streptophyta; Magnoliopsida; Arecales; Arecaceae. The record is from RNAcentral.
AUGGGGGCUUCUUUUGCACUCCCACCGAAUAGAUAGGAACUUUACUUUGCACUCCCAUCAAAUAGGUGGAGGUUUCCUUUGUACUCCCACCAAAUAUGUAGGGACUUUGCUUUGCACUCCCACCGAAUAGGUGGGAGCUUCCUUUGCAAGGAGGAUCGGACUGAGGUUGGAGAUCAAUUUGGUGAAUAUAAAGAUUCAAAAAAGGAAGGAGG